GACCUCCCUUAGGAGAUCAAUCCCCUGUCCUCCUGCUCUUUGCUCUGUGAGAAAGAUCCACCUACGACCUCAGGUCCUCAGACCGACCAGCCCAAGAAACAUCUCACCAAUUUCAAAUCCGCCACUGCCAGAGCCCCUGGAACUCUGGCCCGAGGCUCUCUGACUGACUCCUUCCCAGAUCUUCUUGGCUUAGUGGCUGAAGACUGAUGCUGCCUGAUCGCCUCGGAAGCCCCCUAGACCAUCACGGACGCCAAGCUUCAGGUAACUCUCACAGUGGAAGAAGGCAGGAAUGUCAGGCCUCUGAGCCCAAGCCAAGCCAUCGCAUCCCCUGUGACUUGCACAUAUAUGCCCAGAUGGCCUGAAGUAACUGAAGAAUCACAAAAGAAGUGAAUAUGCCCUGCCCCACCUUAACUGAUGACAUUCCACCACAAAAGAAGUGUAAAUGGCCGGUCCUUGCCUUAAGUGAUGACAUUACCUUGUGAAAGUCCUUUUCCUGGCUCAUCCUGGCUCAAAAAUCACCCCCACUGAGCACCUUGCAACCUCCACUCCUGCCCUCCAGAGAACAAACCCCCUUUGACUGUAAUUUUCCUUUACCUACCCAAAUCCUAUAAAACGGCCCCACCCUUAUCUCCCUUUGCUGACUCUGUUUUCGGACUCAGCCUACCUGCACCCAGGUGAAAUAAACAGCCAUGUUGCUCACA
RNAcentral lists this long non-coding RNA (701 nucleotides) under Homo sapiens (human). RNAcentral describes it as "non-protein coding lnc-AGA-4:2". Lineage: Eukaryota; Metazoa; Chordata; Mammalia; Primates; Hominidae. The record is from RNAcentral.